GACGAACGCUGGCGGCGUGCCUAACACAUGCAAGUCAACUUGACUGAAGGAGCAAUCUGACAGUAGAGUGGCGCAAGGGUGCGUAACGCGUAAGUAACUUGCCCCAAGGUAAGGAAUAACGUCGAGAAAUCGGCGCUAAUACCUCAUAAUGCAGCGGAUCCGCAUGGAUAUGUUGUUAAAGGUUUACCGCCUUGGGAUAGGCUUGCGUCUGAUUAGCUAGUUGGUGUGGUAACGGCACACCAAGGCUACGAUCAGUAACUGGUCUGAGAGGAUGAUCAGUCACACUGGAACUGAGACACGGUCCAGACUCCUACGGGAGGCAGCAGUGAGGAAUAUUGGGCAAUGCUCGAAAGAGUGACCCAGCAACGCCGCGUGGAGGAUGAAGGUAUUCUAUAUCGUAAACUCCUGUGAGAGCAGACGAAAGACAGAUUAUUAAUCUGGAUGACUGUAUGCUCAGAGAAGCCCCGGCUAACUACG
RNAcentral lists this ribosomal RNA (477 nucleotides) under uncultured bacterium. RNAcentral's name for it is "bacterial SSU rRNA". It matches the Rfam family "Bacterial small subunit ribosomal RNA", at positions 28 to 505 of the family's 1533-position model. The record is from RNAcentral.